Molecule: transfer RNA, 86 nt
Filed under: Felis catus (domestic cat)
Lineage: Eukaryota; Metazoa; Chordata; Mammalia; Carnivora; Felidae
Rfam family: tRNA
About the family: Transfer RNA (tRNA) molecules are approximately 80 nucleotides in length. Their secondary structure includes four short double-helical elements and three loops (D, anti-codon, and T loops). Further hydrogen bonds mediate the characteristic L-shaped molecular structure. tRNAs have two regions of fundamental functional importance: the anti-codon, which is responsible for specific mRNA codon recognition, and the 3' end, to which the tRNAs corresponding amino acid is attached (by aminoacyl-tRNA synthetases). tRNAs cope with the degeneracy of the genetic code in two manners: having more than one tRNA (with a specific anti-codon) for a particular amino acid; and 'wobble' base-pairing, i.e. permitting non-standard base-pairing at the 3rd anti-codon position.
Source: Rfam by way of RNAcentral
GCCUGGGUGGCUCAGUUGGUUAAGCGUCUGACUUAAGCUCAGGUCAUGAUAUCACAAGUCUGUGAGUUCGAGCCCCACGUUGGGCU